ACUGCUCAGUAACACGUGGAUAACCUGCCCUUGGGUCUGGGAUAACCCCGGGAAACUGGGGAUAAUACCGGAUAACGCAUAUGUGCUGGAAUGCUUUAUGCGUAAAACGGAUUCGUCCGCCCAAGGAUGGGUCUGCGGCCUAUCAGGUAGUAGUGGGUGUAAUGUACCUACUAGCCAACAACGGGUACGGGUUGUGAGAGCAAGAGCCCGGAGAUGGAUUCUGAGACAUGAAUCCAGGCCCUACGGGGCGCAGCAGGCGCGAAAACUUUACAAUGCGGGAAACCGUGAUAAGGGAACUCCGAGUGUCCGUCAAUGCGGACUGUCCGUAUGUUUAAAAAGCAUGCGAAGAAAGGGCCGGGCAAGACCGGUGCCAGCCGCCGCGGUAACACCGGCGGCCCGAGUGGUGACCGUUAUUAUUGGGUCUAAAGGGUCCGUAGCCGGUUUGGUCAGUCCUCCGGGAAAUCUGAUAGCUUAACUGUUAGGCUUUCGGGGGAUACUGCCAGGCUUGGAACCGGGAGAGGUAAGAGGUACUACAGGGGUAGGAGUGAAAUCUUGUAAUCCCUGUGAGACCACCUGUGGCGAAGGCGUCUUACCAGAACGGGUUCGACGGUGAGGGACGAAAGCUGGGGGCACGAACCGGAUUAGAUACCCGGGUAGUCCCAGCCGUAAACUAUGCUCGCUAGGUGUCAGGCAUGGCGCGACCGUGUCUGGUGCCGCAGGGAAGCCGUGAAGCGAGCCACCUGGGAAGUACGGCCGCAAGGCUGAAACUUAAAGGAAUUGGCGGGGGAGCAC
This 792-nucleotide ribosomal RNA is filed under the name uncultured archaeon. RNAcentral describes it as "bacterial SSU rRNA". It matches the Rfam family "Archaeal small subunit ribosomal RNA", at positions 85 to 879 of the family's 1478-position model. The record is from RNAcentral.